RNAcentral lists this ribosomal RNA (480 nucleotides) under uncultured bacterium. Its description in RNAcentral is "partial 16S ribosomal RNA". It matches the Rfam family "Bacterial small subunit ribosomal RNA", at positions 28 to 507 of the family's 1533-position model. The record is from RNAcentral.
GAUGAACGCUGGCGGCGUGCUUAACACAUGCAAGUCGAACGGAACUACUCCAAUGAGAGUCUUCGGAACGGAUUUGGUUUAGUUUAGUGGCGGACGGGUGAGUAACGCGUGGGUAACCUGCCCUAUACAGGGGGAUAACAGUUGGAAACGACUGUUAAUACCGCAUAAGCGCACAGGAGCGCAUGCUCCGGUGUGAAAAACUCCGGUGGUAUAGGAUGGACCCGCGUCUGAUUAGCUGGUUGGCGGGGUAACGGCCCACCAAGGCGACGAUCAGUAGCCGGCCUGAGAGGGUGAACGGCCACAUUGGGACUGAGACACGGCCCAAACUCCUACGGGAGGCAGCAGUGGGGAAUAUUGCACAAUGGGGGAAACCCUGAUGCAGCGACGCCGCGUGAGCGAAGAAGUAUCUCGGUAUGUAAAGCUCUAUCAGCAGGGAAGAAAAUGACGGUACCUGACUAAGAAGCCCCGGCUAACUACGUG